AUUGAACGCUGGCGGCAUGCCUUACACAUGCAAGUCGAACGGCAGUACGGGUGCUUGCACCUGGUGGCGAGUGGCGAACGGGUGAGUAAUACAUCGGAACGUACCUUAUCGUGGGGGAUAACGCAGCGAAAGCUGCGCUAAUACCGCAUACGCCCUGAGGGGGAAAGCGGGGGAUCGAAAGACCUCGCGCGAUUAGAGCGGCCGAUGCCUGAUUAGCUUGUUGGUGGGGUAAAAGCCCACCAAGGCGACGAUCAGUAGCUGGUCUGAGAGGACGAUCAGCCACACUGGGACUGAGAGACGGCCCAGACUCCUACGGGAGGCAGCAGUGGGGAAUUUUGGACAAUGGGGGCAACCCUGAUCCAGCAAUGCCGCGUGAGUGAAGAAGGCCUUCGGGUUGUAAAGCUCUUUUGUCAGGGAAGAAACACCGGCUCUAACACAGUCCGGGAAUGACGGUACCUGAAGAAUAAGCACCGGCUAACUACGUGCCAGCCGCCGCCGUAA
RNAcentral lists this ribosomal RNA (501 nucleotides) under uncultured bacterium. RNAcentral describes it as "partial 16S ribosomal RNA". It matches the Rfam family "Bacterial small subunit ribosomal RNA", at positions 29 to 523 of the family's 1533-position model. The record is from RNAcentral.